AUUGAACGCUGGCGGCGGGCUUAACACAUGCAAGUCGAGCGGAGAUGAGGUGCUUGCACCUUAUCUUAGCGGCGGACGGGUGAGUAAUGCUUAGGAAUCUGCCUAUUAGUGGGGGACAACAUUCCGAAAGGAAUGCUAAUACCGCAUACGUCCUACGGGAGAAAGCAGGGGAUCUUCGGACCUUGCGCUAAUAGAUGAGCCUAAGUCGGAUUAGCUAGUUGGUGGGGUAAAGGCCUACCAAGGCGACGAUCUGUAGCGGGUCUGAGAGGAUGAUCCGCCACACUGGGACUGAGACACGGCCCAGACUCCUACGGGAGGCAGCAGUGGGGAAUAUUGGACAAUGGGGGGAACCCCGAUCCAGCCAUGCCGCGUGUGUGAAGAAGGCCUUAUGGUUGUAAAGCACUUUAAGCGAGGAGGAGGCUACUGAGACUAAUACUCUUGGAUAGUGGACAUUACUCGCAGAAUAAGCACCGGCUAACUCUGUGCCAGCCGCCGCAGUAA
RNAcentral lists this ribosomal RNA (501 nucleotides) under uncultured bacterium. RNAcentral's name for it is "partial 16S ribosomal RNA". It matches the Rfam family "Bacterial small subunit ribosomal RNA", at positions 30 to 523 of the family's 1533-position model. The record is from RNAcentral.